Molecule: ribosomal RNA, 253 nt
Filed under: uncultured bacterium
Lineage: Bacteria
Description: partial 16S ribosomal RNA
Rfam family: Bacterial small subunit ribosomal RNA
Source: RNAcentral
UACGUAGGGUGCAAGCGUUGUCCGGAAUUAUUGGGCGUAAAGAGCUCGUAGGCGGCUUGUCGCGUCGGCUGUGAAAACCUGGGGCUCAACCCCGGGCCUGCAGCCGAUACGGGCAAGCUAGAAUUCGGUAGGGGAGAGUGGAAUUCCUGGUGUAGCGGUGAAAUGCGCAGAUAUCAGGAAGAACACCCGUGGCGAAGGCGGCUCUCUGGGACGGUACUGACGCUGAGACGCGAAAGCGUGGGGAGCGAACAGG